UUCGGGUUGAGUGGCGGACGGGUGAGUAACGCGUGAGAAUAUGCCUUGGGGUAGGGGACAACCACUGGAAACGGUGGCUAAUACCGGAUAAGCCUUUGGGUAAAAGAUUUAUUGCCCCAAGAGGAGCUCGCGUCUGAUUAGCUAGUUGGUGAGGUAAGAGCUCACCAAGGCAGCGAUCAGUAGCUGGUCUGAGAGGACGAUCAGCCACACUGGGACUGAGACACGGCCCAGACUCCUACGGGAGGCAGCAGUGGGGAAUUUUCCGCAAUGGGCGAAAGCCUGACGGAGCAAGACCGCGUGAGGGAGGAAGGCUCUUGGGUUGUAAACCUCUUUUCUCAGGGAAGAAGCUCUGACGGUACCUGAGGAAUCAGCCUCGGCUAACUCCGUGCCAGCAGCCGCGGUAAUACGGAGGAGGCAAGCGUUAUCCGGAAUUAUUGGGCGUAAAGCGUCCGCAGGUGGCGAUUCAAGUCUGCUGUCAAAGCACGGGGCUUAACUCCGUUAAGGCAGUGGAAACUGAAUAGCUAGAGUGCCGUAGGGGUAGAGGGAAUUCCCGGUGUAGCGGUGAAAUGCGUAGAGAUCGGGAAGAACAUCGGUGGAGAGAGCGCUCUACUGGACGGCAACUGACACUCAGGGACGAAAGCUAGGGGAGCGAAUGGGAUUAGAUAC
RNAcentral lists this ribosomal RNA (666 nucleotides) under uncultured organism. RNAcentral describes it as "bacterial SSU rRNA". It matches the Rfam family "Bacterial small subunit ribosomal RNA", at positions 85 to 785 of the family's 1533-position model. The record is from RNAcentral.